CGGAGAUCCAUUCUGGGCUCCUAGAGGUCAUCUCACCCUCCCCCCACUUCUACCCUGACUUCUCCCGCCUCCGAGAGUCCUUUGGGGACCCCAAGGAGAGAGUCAGGUGGAGGACCAAACAGAACCUCGAUUACUGCUUCCUCAUGAUGUACGCGCAGUCCAAAGGCAUCUACUACGUGCAGCUGGAGGAUGACAUCGUGGCCAAGCCCAACUACCUAAGCACCAUGAAGAACUUUGCACUGCAGCAGCCUUCAGAGGACUGGAUGAUCCUGGAGUUCUCCCAGCUGGGCUUCAUUGGUGUGCCCCUCCCCUUACCUGACGGUGCCUUUCAGUCCCACCUGCCUUUGCCAUCCUGUCUCCCAGUCCCACUGUGUCCACUGUGAGCCUUUGCCCAGGUGGGCCCUGCCUGGUGUGUGUGCUACAGCCCCACCUGGCCUGUUCUCAUUGCCUGUGCAUCAGACAUGUCUGCCCUCAUCACCUGUCUGCCCCCCUGCCCCGUUAUGCCCACACCUGCCUGAAGCCUGCCCCUGGGUUUGCUGUGGGACUCUCGGGGGCCGCUGCAGGGAGAAAGGAAGUAGGCGGAGCAGCACUGCCCACUCAGGCCCCUCCCCACCAGGUAAGAUGUUCAAGUCGCUGGACCUGAGCCUGAUUGUAGAGUUCAUCCUCAUGUUCUACCGGGACAAGCCCAUCGACUGGCUCCUGGACCAUAUUCUGUGGGUGAAAGUCUGCAACCCCGAGAAGGAUGCG
Molecule: small RNA, 747 nt
Filed under: Pan troglodytes (chimpanzee)
Lineage: Eukaryota; Metazoa; Chordata; Mammalia; Primates; Hominidae
Description: retained intron
Source: RNAcentral